GUGGUGGUUGUGAGACAAAAAGGAGGAGAUGGUCACAUAGACUCGGCGUAUAAAAGGGCUAUGGAGAUGUCCAUUAAUAGAUAUCAAUGUGAAUGAGUAGGGAUUGCCAUACAAAGGAUGCACUAGAGCUAUAAGUAUGUGAAAGCUCAAAAGUAGAACUAGUGGGUGUGCAUCCAACUUGCUUGCUCACGAAGACCUAGGGAAAUUUGAGGAAGCCCAUCAUUGCAAUAUACAAGCCAAGUUAUAUAAUGAAGAUUCCCACUAGCAUAUGGUAGUGAUGAAAUGAGAGGCUCUCAAACAUGAAGAAAUGGUGCUAUUACGAAGCACAAGUAUGGAAAAAGAUAGUAGCAUUGUCCCUUCUCUCUUCUUCUCUCUUUUUUUAUUUUAUUUAAAUUUUUAUUUAGGCUCUUAGGCCUCCAUUUUUUCUCCCUUUUUUUUAUUUGGGCUCUUUGGCCUCUUUUUUUAUUUCCUCACAUGGGACAAUGCUCUAAUAAUGAUGAUCAUCACACUUCUAUUUACUCACACCUCAAAGCUUAGAAAUGACUCUAUAGGAAAUGCCUCCGGUUGUGUACCGGGAUGUGCAACGAUCUAGCUUGGCGUAUGACGUUGAAACAUCUUGCUAGCUAUCUUACGAUCAUGCAAUGGCAAUAUGAGAGUGACGACACAAGUCAUGAGACAGAACGAUGGCAGUUGCAUGGCAAUAUAUCUCGGAAUGGCUAUGAAAAUGCCAUAGUAGGUAGGUAUGGUGGCUGUUUUGAGGAAGGCAUAUGGUGUGUUUAUGUAUCGGCGAAAAUUGCGCGGCACUAGAGAGGUUAGCAAUGUGGAAGGUGAAAGUGCAUCUAUACCAUGGACUCACAUUAGUCAUGAAGAACUCACAUACUUGUUGCGAAAGUUUUUAUUAGUAAUCGAAACAAAGUGCUAAACGCAUUCUCCGAGGGGAAGGGUUGGUAGGUGUUAACCAUCGCGCGAUCCCGACCUCAACACAAAGAAUGACAAUCAAUAGCUCAAUUAUGAUCCGACUUCUAACAUAGCGGUUCACCAUACGUGCAUGCUACGGGAAUCACUAACUUCAACACAAGUAUUUCUAGAUUCACAACACCCUACUAACAUAGCUCUUAAUAUUACCAAAUCCACGUCUCAAAACUAAUUGAGAGGAAUCAACACUUCUCUUUCUACUCAAUGCACAUGAAGAUGGAGUUUUUUGUAUCCUCUUUGGGUACCUAUCACCUUUGGGACUACUUUCAUAGCAUAAGCCAACUACCAAGUCACGCACCGCAGUGCUUUAAAAGAUCUAAGUGAAGCACAAAGAGAAAAAUUAUCUAGCUCGAAAUAUAUAAGUGAAGCACGAUGAGCAUUCUAGCAAAAUCAUGAUGAGUGCAUGUCUCUCACUAAAGGUGUGCAGCAAGGAUGAUUGUGACACAACAAAAAUAAAAGAGUCCUAAGAUAUAAGACGCUCCAAGCAAAACACAUAACAUGUGGUGAAUAAAAAUAUAGCUCCAAGUAAUGUUACCGAUGGAUUGAAGACGAAAGAGGGAUGCCUUCCCGGGGCAUCCCCAAGCUUAGGGUUUUUGGUGUCCUUGAAUUUGGCUUGGGAUGCCUUGGUAAUCCCCAAGCUUGAGCUCUUUCCACUCCUUAUCUCUUUGGCCAUGAUAACAUCACCCAAAACUUAAAAACUUCACAACACAAAACUUAAACAGAAACUCGUGAGAACAAUAGCACAAGAAAACAAACUACCACCUCCUUAGGUACUGUAGCAAUCUUGAUUUCUAUUUGUAUUGGUGUUGGGAUACUGUAUUCUCACUUUUCCAUGGCUAGUACCCCCCUAUAAUAUCCAUAG
This 1837-nucleotide long non-coding RNA is filed under the name Hordeum vulgare. Its description in RNAcentral is "long non-coding RNA (HVUL_LNC019191)". The record is from RNAcentral. Lineage: Eukaryota; Viridiplantae; Streptophyta; Magnoliopsida; Poales; Poaceae.